UUAAGCGACUAAGCGUACACGGUGGAUGCCCUGGCAGUCAGAGGCGAUGAAGGACGUGCUAAUCUGCGAUAAGCGUCGGUAAGGUGAUAUGAACCGUUAUAACCGGCGAUUUCCGAAUGGGGAAACCCAGUGUGUUUCGACACACUAUCAUUAACUGAAUCCAUAGGUUAAUGAGGCGAACCGGGGGAACUGAAACAUCUAAGUACCCCGAGGAAAAGAAAUCAACCGAGAUUCCCCCAGUAGCGGCGAGCGAACGGGGAGCAGCCCAGAGCCUGAAUCAGUGUGUGUGUUAGUGGAAGCGUCUGGAAAGGCGCGCGAUACAGGGUGACAGCCCCGUACACAAAAAUGCACAUGCUGUGAGCUCGAUGAGUAGGGCGGGACACGUGGUAUCCUGUCUGAAUAUGGGGGGACCAUCCUCCAAGGCUAAAUACUCCUGACUGACCGAUAGUGAACCAGUACCGUGAGGGAAAGGCGAAAAGAACCCCGGCGAGGGGAGUGAAAAAGAACCUGAAACCGUGUACGUACAAGCAGUGGGAGCCUCUUUAUGGGGUGACUGCGUACCUUUUGUAUAAUGGGUCAGCGACUUAUAUUCUGUAGCAAGGUUAACCGAAUAGGGGAGCCGAAGGGAAACCGAGUCUUAACUGGGCGUUAAGUUGCAGGGUAUAGACCCGAAACCCGGUGAUCUAGCCAUGGGCAGGUUGAAGGUUGGGUAACACUAACUGGAGGACCGAACCGACUAAUGUUGAAAAAUUAGCGGAUGACUUGUGGCUGGGGGUGAAAGGCCAAUCAAACCGGGAGAUAGCUGGUUCUCCCCGAAAGCUAUUUAGGUAGCGCCUCGUGAACUCAUCUCCGGGGGUAGAGCACUGUUUCGGCAAGGGGGUCAUCCCGACUUACCAACCCGAUGCAAACUGCGAAUACCGGAGAAUGUUAUCACGGGAGACACACGGCGGGUGCUAACGUCCGUCGUGAAGAGGGAAACAACCCAGACCGCCAGCUAAGGUCCCAAAGUCAUGGUUAAGUGGGAAACGAUGUGGGAAGGCCCAGACAGCCAGGAUGUUGGCUUAGAAGCAGCCAUCAUUUAAAGAAAGCGUAAUAGCUCACUGGUCGAGUCGGCCUGCGCGGAAGAUGUAACGGGGCUAAACCAUGCACCGAAGCUGCGGCAGCGACGCUUAUGCGUUGUUGGGUAGGGGAGCGUUCUGUAAGCCUGUGAAGGUGUGCUGUGAGGCAUGCUGGAGGUAUCAGAAGUGCGAAUGCUGACAUAAGUAACGAUAAAGCGGGUGAAAAGCCCGCUCGCCGGAAGACCAAGGGUUCCUGUCCAACGUUAAUCGGGGCAGGGUGAGUCGACCCCUAAGGCGAGGCCGAAAGGCGUAGUCGAUGGGAAACAGGUUAAUAUUCCUGUACUUGGUGUUACUGCGAAGGGGGGACGGAGAAGGCUAUGUUGGCCGGGCGACGGUUGUCCCGGUUUAAGCGUGUAGGCUGGUUUUCCAGGCAAAUCCGGAAAAUCAAGGCUGAGGCGUGAUGACGAGGCACUACGGUGCUGAAGCAACAAAUGCCCUGCUUCCAGGAAAAGCCUCUAAGCAUCAGGUAACAUCAAAUCGUACCCCAAACCGACACAGGUGGUCAGGUAGAGAAUACCAAGGCGCUUGAGAGAACUCGGGUGAAGGAACUAGGCAAAAUGGUGCCGUAACUUCGGGAGAAGGCACGCUGAUAUGUAGGUGAAGCGACUUGCUCGUGGAGCUGAAAUCAGUCGAAGAUACCAGCUGGCUGCAACUGUUUAUUAAAAACACAGCACUGUGCAAACACGAAAGUGGACGUAUACGGUGUGACGCCUGCCCGGUGCCGGAAGGUUAAUUGAUGGGGUCAGCGCAAGCGAAGCUCUUGAUCGAAGCCCCGGUAAACGGCGGCCGUAACUAUAACGGUCCUAAGGUAGCGAAAUUCCUUGUCGGGUAAGUUCCGACCUGCACGAAUGGCGUAAUGAUGGCCAGGCUGUCUCCACCCGAGACUCAGUGAAAUUGAACUCGCUGUGAAGAUGCAGUGUACCCGCGGCAAGACGGAAAGACCCCGUGAACCUUUACUAUAGCUUGACACUGAACAUUGAGCCUUGAUGUGUAGGAUAGGUGGGAGGCUUUGAAGUGUGGACGCCAGUCUGCAUGGAGCCGACCUUGAAAUACCACCCUUUAAUGUUUGAUGUUCUAACGUUGACCCGUAAUCCGGGUUGCGGACAGUGUCUGGUGGGUAGUUUGACUGGGGCGGUCUCCUCCUAAAGAGUAACGGAGGAGCACGAAGGUUGGCUAAUCCUGGUCGGACAUCAGGAGGUUAGUGCAAUGGCAUAAGCCAGCUUGACUGCGAGCGUGACGGCGCGAGCAGGUGCGAAAGCAGGUCAUAGUGAUCCGGUGGUUCUGAAUGGAAGGGCCAUCGCUCAACGGAUAAAAGGUACUCCGGGGAUAACAGGCUGAUACCGCCCAAGAGUUCAUAUCGACGGCGGUGUUUGGCACCUCGAUGUCGGCUCAUCACAUCCUGGGGCUGAAGUAGGUCCCAAGGGUAUGGCUGUUCGCCAUUUAAAGUGGUACGCGAGCUGGGUUUAGAACGUCGUGAGACAGUUCGGUCCCUAUCUGCCGUGGGCGCUGGAGAACUGAGGGGGGCUGCUCCUAGUACGAGAGGACCGGAGUGGACGCAUCACUGGUGUUCGGGUUGUCAUGCCAAUGGCACUGCCCGGUAGCUAAAUGCGGAAGAGAUAAGUGCUGAAAGCAUCUAAGCACGAAACUUGCCCCGAGAUGAGUUCUCCCUGACUCCUUGAGAGUCCUGAAGGAACGUUGAAGACGACGACGUUGAUAGGCCGGGUGUGUAAGCGCAGCGAUGCGUUGAGCUAACCGGUACUAAUGAACCGUGAGGCUUAACCUU
This 2901-nucleotide ribosomal RNA is filed under the name Escherichia coli. RNAcentral describes it as "bacterial LSU rRNA". It matches the Rfam family "Bacterial large subunit ribosomal RNA". Lineage: Bacteria; Pseudomonadati; Pseudomonadota; Gammaproteobacteria; Enterobacterales; Enterobacteriaceae. The record is from RNAcentral.